GACGAACGCUGGCGGCGUGCUUAACACAUGCAAGUCGAACGGAAAGGCCCUUCGGGGUACUCGAGUGGCGAACGGGUGAGUAACACGUGGGUGAUCUGCCCUGCACUUUGGGAUAAGCCUGGGAAACUGGGUCUAAUACCGAAUAGGACCACGCGCUUCAUGGUGUGUGGUGGAAAGCUUUUGCGGUGUGGGAUGGGCCCGCGGCCUAUCAGCUUGUUGGUGGGGUAAUGGCCUACCAAGGCGACGACGGGUAGCCGGCCUGAGAGGGUGACCGGCCACACUGGGACUGAGAUACGGUCCAGACUCCUACGGGAGGCAGCAGUGGGGAAUAUUGCACAAUGGGCGCAAGCCUGAUGCAGCGACGCCGCGUGAGGGAUGACGGCCUUCGGGUUGUAAACCUCUUUCACCAGGGACGAAGCGUAAGUGACGGUACCUGGAGAAGAAGCACCGGCCAACUACGUG
Molecule: ribosomal RNA, 462 nt
Filed under: uncultured bacterium
Lineage: Bacteria
Description: partial 16S ribosomal RNA
Rfam family: Bacterial small subunit ribosomal RNA
Source: RNAcentral